CCUACGUGAGGCAGCAGUGGGGAAUAUUGGGCAAUGGACGCAAGUCUGACCCAGCAACACCGCGUGAAGGAAGAAGGCUUUCGGGUUGUAAACUUCUUUUAAGGGGGAAGAGCAGAAGACGGUACCCCUUGAAUAAGCGACGGCUAACUACGUGCCAGCAGCCGCGGUAAUACGUAGGUGGCAGGCGUGUUCCGGAUUUACUGGGUGUAAAGGGCGUGCAGGCGUGGAGACAAGGCAGAUGUGAAAUCCACGGGCUCAACCCGUGAACUGCAUUUGAAACUGUUUCCCUUGAGUGUCGGAGAGGUAUUCGGAAUUCCUUGUGUAGCGGUGAAAUGCGUAGAUAUAAGGAAGAACACCAGUGGCGAAGGCGGAUUACUGGCCGAUAACUGACGGUGAGGCGCGAAAGCGUGGGGAGCAAACAGGAUUAGAUACCCGGGUAGUC
This 442-nucleotide ribosomal RNA is filed under the name uncultured bacterium. Its description in RNAcentral is "partial 16S ribosomal RNA". It matches the Rfam family "Bacterial small subunit ribosomal RNA", at positions 338 to 795 of the family's 1533-position model. The record is from RNAcentral.